GUAACCAUUUCAAGUUGAAAUAGCGGUUCUCGUACGAUCACCGUGGUUAAGCAACGCCGAGCCUGGUCAGUACCAAGCUGGGGGACUCCUUGGGAAUACCAUGUAUCGUUA
Molecule: non-coding RNA, 111 nt
Organism: Acanthosepion pharaonis
Lineage: Eukaryota; Metazoa; Mollusca; Cephalopoda; Sepiida; Sepiidae
Source: the annotation of a GenBank genome assembly